GGCACAGCGCCGGAUGAACGGAUAACUCUGAUGACGUUAAUUAAGGAGACUCCUCCCUAUGCCU
This 64-nucleotide transfer RNA is filed under the name Metaphire guillelmi. RNAcentral describes it as "tRNA-Ile". The record is from RNAcentral. Lineage: Eukaryota; Metazoa; Annelida; Clitellata; Crassiclitellata; Megascolecidae.